ACCUGCCCGCCUGAGCUCUCUGAGCAAGAGGAUCCUCAGCCCAUCGAGGAGGAUCCGACAGCCUGUAAUGAGGCUGAAGAACCAAUUAUGACGCAGGAGAGCACGAACACCAGCCCCUGCCACCCUCAGCAGGAGACUUGCGAGGAGAGACCUCAGGAGUGUGGCAAUUACACCUGCCCGCCUGAGCUCUCUGAGCAAGAGGAUCCUCAGCCCAUCGAGGAGGAUCCAACAGCCUGUAAUGAGGUUUGUGCUUAAUUAUAUCUUCUGAAAGUCAUUUUGUUUCAAGAUUAAACAUACGGUCACCUUUAGUGAUAACUUGCAUUGGA
This is a long non-coding RNA of Xenopus tropicalis (tropical clawed frog), 326 nucleotides long. RefSeq lists it as uncharacterized. The record is from RefSeq and is a predicted model, not a curated record. The transcript has 3 exons. Lineage: Eukaryota; Metazoa; Chordata; Amphibia; Anura; Pipidae.